AAAAAUGUUAUUUAAUUUUUAUGGUCAUUUCAUUAAAACUCAAUCGAGAAAAGCUUGUAGCACACAAGUCUCAUUCUAGCCAUUCUGUGGAAACUGAACUCAUGAAGCUCCUGACCCUAUUAUGGUUACUCAAUGGAAAGCGAAGUUCCUGGCACCAAGUCUCUUUAUGGAAAUGACUUCCUGAAUGAGUCUGGCAUUUCAUUAAUCCCGUGACCAGGCAUAGGUCAAUAGGUCAUACAACUGGUUAACAUAUUUGAUGAGGGCAAUACCCAGUUGAAUGAUGUAGAUACUAAUAUAAGAGAAGAUCAGAUAAAGCUAAAAGUUUUGUUAAAGAAACGGAUAAAUGUCUGGUGGAAUAAGGCCAGUCUAGAAAAUUAUUUACAGAAGAAUAUUAUUCCUAGAGGACUUUGUGUCCAAUUGUUUCCUGCAUUUCCUGUUGAGGAUCCCCAUUUUGGAACUAGGUGGGAAGAAUCUUGCAAAGUUUGUUCUAGAACUUUUCUGGAAUUGCUCUUGGAUUGGAUAAGAAAUCUUUAGACCAGCUUUAAGGGGAAAUUGAUAAAUUGAAGGAAUCUUUGAGAAGAAAGUUACUUUCUGAUUGUUUGGUGGCAAUUGAAACGGAGUUGAAUACUGAAUUCAAGAAGUGGGAAGGAGAGAUUCAGGCUCAAAAAGUCAGAAAAUUCAAAUGUGAUCAGACUGAUUAUUCCAAUAACGCUGUAUAUAAAUGGCAGAGAUUGGGAGGUGGGUGACCACCAUCAUGCUCCUCCUCCUCAUUAGGGGACCGUUUUUUAGACAGGUGAAUGCACAAGAUGGGUGGGGAAGAAGAAGGUGGCGACCUAUCAGUUAUGACUAGGAACCAAAGGACUCGAUACCAGAAAGAUCCGGUUCGCAAUGCCACCCAAGGCCAGAAGGAGGCGUUAAAGAUUUUUGCUACAUAAAUAUCCAGUAUGCCGUGAGGGAGGACAUUUUCUUGGAUACAUGACAGGAUGAUGUAUUUUGAAUAUCUAUGAAAACAUCGGAAUAACAUCACUGACAGUCGAAUGAACCUCAAUACCAUCUCUGAUAGUAUAAGGACAUCAUGGAGUACUAUUUACGCAAUUGGAGGGACUUUUUGGGUUUAUAUAGUAGAUUAAUCAUCCAAUAUGGUUUUAUGUACUGGUGA
Molecule: long non-coding RNA, 1159 nt
Organism: Hyla sarda
Lineage: Eukaryota; Metazoa; Chordata; Amphibia; Anura; Hylidae
Exons: 3
Source: RefSeq, a predicted model, not a curated record